RNAcentral lists this unclassified non-coding RNA (231 nucleotides) under soil metagenome. RNAcentral describes it as "partial contains small subunit ribosomal RNA, internal transcribed spacer 1, and 5.8S ribosomal RNA". The record is from RNAcentral.
UUUCCGUAGGUGAACCUGCGGAAGGAUCAUUAAAAUACAGAGAAUAUUUUAUUCUUAUACCCAAUCUGAGUACUUGUACUUGUUGCUUUCGUGGGCAGCGAGCUGUUAGCUUGCGUCUGCUUUCAUUGUAGACCUGCGGGAGGUAUCAAUAAACCAUGCGUUACGUGAAAUCAGUCUGAAUUGUUUAAUUUUUAAACGUUAAAACUUUCAACAACGGAUCUCUUGGUUCUC